AUGCUGGAGGAUACACAGCAAGAGAAAGAGUUUGUUGAGCAACUGAAAACAGCUGCGUUGAAGGACAAGGAAGAUCAGGAAAAGCGUUUAGCUGAGAUGGACAAGGAGAGAGAGGAACUCAAACAGAUUAGAGUUCAGGUCCAGAACGACAAGAAAGAUCUAGAAAAACAAAGGUAUGAAAUGAUGAGAUAUGAUGUAGAACAGAGUGCUCAAGUGCAGAGACAAAGAGAAGAACUUGAGAAGAUCAAGACUCAGCUAUUUCUGGACACAGAGAUCAUGAACAGAAGCAGAGAGUUAGCGCAACAAGAUAGAGUGAAAGCUGAACGCCUUAUGAUUGAGAUCCAGGAACAAAGAGAGGAAGUGAAUAAAAGGUUAGAGGAGACAAAACGACGAGAGGACACCUUGAGGAAGAUGAGAGAGGACAUGGAGGACGAGAGAGAAGAUCUGGAGAAGAUCCGUUUGGAAACGCUGAGAGGGAAAGACACAUAUGAAGAGGUCAAGGAUGAGAUUAACAGGGUGAGAGCGGAGAUAGAGAGGUUGUGGGAUGAGGCUGAAAAGGGAGAGCCUGAGGAAUGUGAAAGGAUGAACAGGGAGAAGGAGGAGAUGAUGAGGAAGAUGGAAGCUAUGAAGAAGGAGAUGGGUGAUAUUGAAGACAUGAAGAUGGAGUUAACAAAACAGAAGGAGGACAUCGACGUAAAGAUGGAGAAGGCAAGGCUGGAAAUGACUCAUCUUGAAAAGAUGAGAGCAGACCUCCAAAAACAGAAAGAAGAUAUUGAAAUCCAGAUGAUGGAAGCAAAAAGUGAGAGAUACCAGAUGGAACUGAUGAGGACUGAGAUCUUAAAACAAAAAGAGGAUGUUGAAAGGAAAAUGGAGCUAGCAAAAGCAGAGAUGGACAAAAUGCAGCUUGUCAAAGAGGAAAUACAAAGACAAAGAAAAGAGCUGGAGGAAAGGAUGCAGAAAACCAAACGAGAGAUUGAAGAAAUGGAGCUGAUGAAGAGAGAAAUGGAAGGGAAGAAGAAAGAACUUCAGCAAAGGAUGAAAUUGACCAUGAGGAAGAAGGACGAGAUGGAACGACUGAAGAUGGAGAUACAAAGAGCAAAAGAUGAGAUGGAACGGAAAAGAGUGGAGACAGAGAGGCAGAAGUAUGAAAUGGAGCAAGUUAAAGCUGAAAUCCAAAGAGCGAGAGAGGAGUUUGAACUUAGGAUGGAGGAGAGAGAUUUAGAAGAAGAGAAAGGACAGAUGAACCUCACAAUAAUCAACCUUAUUCAACAGAUUGAGGCGACGAGAGAAAUGGUGCGAAAAGCAAAAUUCCAGAUUGAAAGCCAAAUGGCAGGAAGUCAGAUGGAGAUGACAGACCAAGAGGAGAUGAAUGCUGAGAUGCAGAGGCUCAUUCUGGAGAUUGAACACAUCCGUGAAAUGCUGCGAGGUCUUAAGGGUGAGGUGGAACACAACAAGGAAAUGAUGAAGAGAGACAGGGAUGAGAUGAGGCUGCUGAAGAAUGAAGUUCAGCGAAGGAGAAGAGAGAUUGAAUACAGAGAAGAAAAGAUUAUAAGAGAACGGGACAAACUAGAACUCAUGAGAAAUAUGUUGCAGCGGCAAAGAGAGGAACUGGAGGAGAGGUUGGAGGAGACCAUUAAAGAGAAUGAUAAGGUGGAGCAGAUGAGAGAUGAUGUGAAAAAUGCCUUGGAGAACAUAGAACGGGCCAAAAAAGAGAUAAAGAGAGAGAAAGAACUCAUUGCUCAAGAAAAGACAGGAAAAGAAAAGGUUCAACCAGCCAUCAUUCCAACCGAGAGCCAAGAGUAUGCAAAAACAGAAGAACCAGCUGCCAUUAAAGUGGAAGACUUUGUCAGUGAUAGACAGAAAGAAAGACAAAAACUGGAACAAUAUAAAGAAAUCCUUUUAAUAGAGAAACAUGAACUAGAGAAGACAAAGGAGGAUGUACAAGCGCUGCAGAAUAAAACUGAAGAGAUGAUGACAAAAUUACAAGAGGAGGAAAAGGAGAUGGAAAAGAAACAAGCGAGUCUACAAAACUGGGAAAGACUGCUGCAAUCAGAAAGAGAGGAGAACCAGAGAGGUUUAGAUGUAAUAUGGAAAGAGAAGAAGCAGCUGGAUCAAAGAAAACAAGAACUAGACAAUAUGGAAAUAAAUCUACAGAGAGAGAAAUAUGAAUUGGAAAAAACAAGAAAGAUUAAGCAAGCUGAUGUGCAAGUCCAAACUGAUGUGAUGGAUGAUGUAGGAAAACAUCAGAUGAUCUUGACCAUGGAGGAGCUGGAUAAAGAGCGACAAGCACUAGAGUAUUUCAAAAAAGACUUACUUGCACAAAAAAGUACAAUUGAGAGACAACUGGCAGAAAUAAAAAUGAGCAAGGAUGAAUUUUCGCUCAAAGAAGUCGCACUGCAAACUGCAACAAAACACGCAGCAGACAUGGAGUUGCAAUUAGAACAGCGAAAACAGGAGCUAGAACAAACAAAAGAUGAGCUGGAAAAGACAAAGCUAGAAAAAGAAGACAUGAUAAGAACAGAAUUAGAAAAAGCAAGAGAUGUCCUAAAUCACAUUAGACAGGAUAUAGAAAAACAAAAACAAACCAUGGAGGCUGAUCUAAAAGACACUUUUGCUAGAGAACUAGAAGACAUCGAAGCUCAGCAAAAAAGGAUAGAGGAUGAAAAGAGAACAUUAGAGAACAUGAAAUAUGAGCUGGAAAAGGAGUCUAGUGAUGUUGAAAGGUUAAAACAGAAUGUGCAGAAAGAAAGACAGAACAUGGAGAAAUGGGCAGAGCAGCUCAAAAAAGAGAGGGAGGAACUAGAAAAGAAAAUGUGUGAUAUUCAACAAAUACAAGCACAGAUAGUGAGAGAAAAGAAAGAGCUAGAGAAUUCGAGAGAGGAGAAUGAGCAGACAUUGAAGGAGAUCAUAAUGGAGAGAGACACUCUUGAGAAACAAAAAGAUGAUUUUGAGAAUGAGAAGGAAGAAAUCAAGAAAAGAGAAAAUGAACUGCAGCAAAUGCAAGCUGAUCUUAACAGACAACAAAAAGACAUGCAUGAUAUUCAGAAUAUAGUUUUCAUGCAAAAAAGUCAACUUCAGAUAAGCCAAGAGGAAAUAGCUGAAAAGCUAAAACAGGUCGAUAACAUCAUGCAGUUCACACAAAAUGAAAAAGACAGUCUUGACAGAGAGAGGGCGGCUAUAAUGGAGCAGAAGCAGCAGAUGGAGAGAAACAUGACAGAUGCACUAAACAGAGAACUGGAAACUGUGGAACUUGUGAAACAAGAGAUACUAAAUGAGAAGCGACUUAUUGAGGACUGCAGAAUAGCUUUAAUGAGAGAGAUACAAGAUUUGGAGCAAAAGAAAAUCAAUUUGGGGGCUCAGGCGGAUGAGAUAAAAUUACAAAGACAAAGUAUUGCAGAAGAGAAAAACACGUUGGAACAAACGAAAUCUUUGCUGCAAAGAGUAGCUGAAGAUACUGAGAAGCUAAGACAAGAUACACAAGCUGAAAGACAUAAAAUUAAAAACACUGCUGUGCAACUUCAGAAAGAGAGAGAUGCCAUUGUGAGUCUUGCAGAGGAGACAAAAAGGAAGAGGGAGGACCUGGACAAAAUGCAAACUGAUAUAGAAAAGCAGGAAAAAGCCAUGAAGGCUAAUCUGCAAAAAGAAGCCAGUGUCAUUGAAAAUUUAAGACAAGCUGUUCAAAAUGACAUACAAAACAUAAAAGAUAUGGAAGCCAAAAUUCUAAAAGAAAGACAAUACACUUAUAGUCUAGUUGAAGAGACUGAAAAAAGGUCAAAAGCUCUAGAUGAGCUACAUAUGGAGGUUGAAAAAGAAAAGCAAUGUGUUGAGUCUGAGAGAGAUGUGCUAGAACAGGAGAAGUUUAAGCUUAAAGAACUCAAAGAUGAAUUUGCUCAGCAAAAAGAACAGAACAGUAUUAUACUGGCAGAGAUACAGAAAGAAAGAGACAAUCUUAAGCAGUUGAUUGAAACCAUCUCAAAUCAAAGGUGCAUUGUUGAAAAUGAUAAAGAAAAUUUAAGACUGAGAGAAAAUGAACUGAAACAAAAAGAAGCAGAGAUGGAAAACAAACAAAAACAAAUAGAUGAGUUGAAGAGCAUUUUAAGGAUGGAAAAGAUGCAAGUUGAGCAGAUGCAAGCUGACCAAGAUCAACACAGGACAGCUGCACAUGAAAAAAUACAAUAUGUUAAGACUGUAAGAGAAAGAGAAGCGGCAGAUCUGGAGAAAGAGAGACAGGAAAUUGAGAAUUUGAGAGAAGAAUUGAGGGUAGAAUAUGAAAAUGUGGAGCUCCUAAAGGAAAAUCUAACUGAACAAAAAGAAGUAUUUAAAAGCCACAUGAAAUCACUGGAAAUGGAUAAGGACGACAUAGAGAAAAAUAAAGCCAAACUGCACAAAGAAUUUGAAAACUUGCAGUUUCACAGGCAAUCUUUUGAGAAAGAGAUACAGCAGGUGAGAGCUGAGCUUCAGAAAGAGACUGACAAUACUGAGAGAAUAAAGAAAGAGGUGGUGGCUGAAAAGCAGAGUAUAAAAGACAUGGCAGCUCAAAUUGAACAUGAGGGAAAUGACAGAAAAGAAGCUCUGGAGAGGAUGCGUCUUGAGCUAGAAAAACAAAAGCAAACAACUGAGACUGAAAAAGAUAUACUAGAAAAACAGAAAUCUGAAGUGGAGAGAAGCAAAACAGAGAUAGCUAGAGCAGAAGAAGAUCUUGCUGAAAAGAGAAAAAUGUAUGAUAUUGAUCGGUCAGAGAUAGAGAAGCAAACAAAUUCCCUUGAGCAAAUAAAGAUGAACAUCUCACAAGCGGAACAUGAUAUUAAAAAAGCCAAGGACAGUUUAAGACAUCAAGAAAAUGAACUGAAUAUACGUACCUCACAACUUUAUGCACAACAAAAAGAAAUAGAAGAGACUCAGGAUAUUAUCAUGAAACAGAAGAGUCAGCUUAAUGAAAAGCAGGAUGAAAUAGAAAAACAAAAGCGAGAACUGGAGAAUGUGAUGGACAGACUUGAGAAAGAGAGGACUGAUGUUAUGGAAGAAAGACAAAGAGUGAAUGACAUGCAAGUAGAACUGAAGAGGGAAAGUGAAAUAGUGGAGCUGAUGAAACAAGAAGUUCUCAGAGAAAAAGAAUCUAUUGAAAACAGCAGGAAAAUACUAAAAAGAAAUCAAGAGGAUAUUCAAGAAAAUAGAACCAUCUUAUCGCAAGAGUUUGAGACCUUAAACUACCAGAAACAAUUGAUUGGCAAAGAAAAGCAGGAAUUUUAUAAGAUGAAAACUGAGCUCCAACAGGAAAAGGAAAAUAUUGCUAAACUAAGGGAAGACAUAGAAAAUGACAGGCAGAAGGCUGAGGAAAUAGCAAACAAACUUCAAAAAGAAAAGGAAGUUAUAGAGACUUCUUUUGCAAGGCUAAGAUCAGAGGAAGCAGAUUUAAGAAAACAAAAACAAUCAAUUGAAUCUGAAAAGGAAAAGUCUGUCCUGGAGAAAACUAAAACAGAGAUAUCCAGAGCGAAAGAAGAUCUUGAGAACCAACUUGAAUCACAUAAAAGGCAAAAUGAAGUAACACUGGCUGAGAUACACAAAGAGAAACACAUUCUUGAGCAGUUAAGAAUGAACAUAUCAAGACAGAGAGAUGAUCUAGAAAAGGACAUUGAGCAAACAAGAUACAAACAAGCAGAGCUGCAAAGUCUAAAAAUGGAAAUUCAGAAACAGCAAACAGAGAUAGAUGAGCAGAAGGUGAUGAUUUCCAUGCAGAAGAGUGGGCUUAAAGACAUAAAAAUUCAAAUAGAUCAACAGAAAAAAGAGACAGAUGAAACCAAAGAACAGAUAAGGAAGGAGAGAGAUUAUAUCGAGAGGGAAAGAGCAGAAAUAAUUAAUCAAAAACAGCAUAUGGAGGUAAAUUUAAGGGAAGAACUAAAAAAGAAGAGUGAAAAGUUAGAACUGCUCAGAAAGGAGUUGUAUGAUGAAAAGGAAAGAAUUGACAACUGCAGGAAAAAAAUAAAAACAGAUAUGGAUGCUUUGGAACAAACAAAGCAUGAUGUAGUUAAAGAGUUGGAGAUUAUCAAGCUUCAGAAACAAAUGAUCGAGGAUGAGAAAAACAAGACUGAGCAGAUAAAAGCUCAGCUAAAAAGAGAAGCUGAAGACAUCGAGAAGAUAAAAGUAGUGACACAAAAUGAAAGACAGAAGCUUCAGGAAGCAACAACCCACCUUCAGAAAGAUAGAGACAAUGUUCAGAGUCUUGCAGAGGAACUUGACAAGAAAAAAGUGGCUCUAGAAAAUGUGCAACGGGAGAUAGAAAUGCAAAGGAAAGCAAAUGAGUCUAAUAAACAGAUGCAAGAAAGGGCUCUGUUUGAGCUGAAGAAAACUGUGACAGAUAUAGCAAGAGCGAAGGAGGAUCUUGAAAACCAGCUUGUUGAAGAAAGAGAAAAGAACAAGAUCACACUAGCAGAAAAAGACAUGCUUCUUCUACUGAGAGACAGUAUUUCAGAGCAACAGGAUAACAUUGCAAAUGAGAGAGAGCAAAUGAGACUUAGAGAGACUGAACUUGAACAACUCCAAGCUCUGAUUUAUAGACAGCAAGAUGAAAUGGAAGCCACACGAAAAGCUCUCACAAUGGAAAAAAGUAGACUUGAGGAGAAGAAAACUGAAAUAGAUCAAAAAUGGAGAAAAGUAAAUGAAAUCAUGGAGUUUACAACAGGAGAAAAGGCUUAUCUUGAGAAAGAGAGGUCUGAAAUGAUAGCACAGAAACACCAAAUGGAGAAUGAACUGGAGCUCUUUAAGGUGGAACUGAAUAAUGAAAAACAAUUAACUGAAGAAAGGACCCAAAUGUUAACAACAUACAAGGCUGACAUAGAAGAAAAAAGAGCAGCCCUAGAGAUAGAGAUAAAGAAGCUUGAUUAUCAUAAAAAAGCUAUUCAAGAUGAGAAGGAUAAUGUUGAACAGAUGAAAAUUGAGCUGCAAAGAGAAGCCGAUGACAUCAGAAAGCUAAAAGAUGAAACACAAAUUGAAAAACAGAGUUUGGAAAAGAUGGCAGAAGAACUUCAGAAAGAGAGAGAAGCUAUUGUUCAUCUUGCUGAAGACACAAAAAGAAAAAAUGAGAUUCUGGGUGAAAUGAAAGCUGCAAAUGAUUCUUCAAUGGCAGAUCUACAAAGAGAGAAACACAAUCUUGAGCAAAUGAGAGUGAACAUCUCAAAACAAACUGAUGAUAUUGAAAAUGAGAAAGAGAAAAUGAGACUCAGAGAGGAUGAACUGCAGCAACUGCAAGCAGAGAUUCAUAAACAACAAAGUGAAAUGAAAAACCUCAAACAAAUCAUCAUGACUGAGAAGCAGCAGCUUGAACUCAGAGAGACUGAAAUAGAAAAACAACAGAAGGAGCUGCAUGACAUUGUGGAGUUUGCAAAUAAUGAGAAGAGCAUUAUUGAAAAUGAAAUCGCUGCAAUGAACAGGGAAAAACAGAACAUGAUGACUGAGUUGAAAAAGAAGUCUGAAGAUGUUGAGCUUCAGAUGAAGGAGGUAUUGACUGAAAAGGAAAUGCUGGAAAAUGACAGACAACUGCUGAAGAGAGACCAGGAAAUUCUGCAACAAAAGCUAGUUAAUGUAGACUGUGACUCUGAUAGUCUGAAACUUGAGAGAGAAGCUUUGGGGAAUGAGAAGGAAGUGAUAAAACAGAUCAAAACUGAAUUGCAAAGAGAAGCAUGUGAGAUUGAGAAGAUCAGACUAGAAACACAACAUGAAAGACAAAGGAUUGAUGAAAUGGCAGCUCAAAUCCAGAAAGAGAGAGAAGAAAUCAAUAGUCUUAUUGUGGAAAUUAAAAAGAAGAGAUAUGUUCUGGAUGAAACCUAUACUGAAAUACAAAGGGAACAAGAAGCAAUCGAGAGAGGCAAAGACUUGAUUAGAAGGGAAUGGUCUGACCUAGAGAAAACCAAAGCGGAGAUGUCUCAAACCAAGGAAGAGAUUGAAAAACAAAAAACAAACAUUGAGAUCACAUUGGCAGAGAUACAAAAAGAGAGAAACAUGCUUGAACAGAUGAGUGAGAAAAUAACAAGAGAAAAAAUGAUGCUUGAAGAUGAAAAGGAAGAAUUAAGAAUAGGAAAGGAAGAACUUGAAAGGAUGUGGGCAGACAUCGAAAGACAACAAGAAGAUACUGAUCACCUGAGGUUUGGCAUAACAAAAGAGAGUCUAUUUGAGAAGUCAGAGGCUGAAAUGGUUCUUCAGACAGAGAGUGACGUGGAUGUAGUCAAGUCUUUAACAGGAAAAGAAAUUUCCGAUCCAGAUGGACAUAGUGUUUCGACGGAGCAGAUGCUGGAAAUGGACUUAAAAGUUGCAUUAGAAACAGAUGCUGAGAGCCAAAAGUCUGAUUUUCCUGAAGUUGAGGAUGAUUUACCUCAUAAACAGGAGAUGAUGUUAGAGAAGAAGUUUAUUGAAGAUGAAAAGGACAAGCUGGAACAGAUGAGAGCUGAAUUACACAAAGAAGCUGAUCACAUUGAAAAGAAAAAGCAGGACAUGCAGAAUGAAAGACAGAAGCUAGAAGAAAUGGCUGCUCAACUUCAUGAAGAGAGAAGUAGUCUUGAACGUCUUAAUGAGGAGAUUAAUGUUCAGAAUUUCAAUCAACAAAAGCAAGCAACAGAGUCUGAAAUGGAGAAGACUGAUUCAGAGAAAAUCAAAACAGAAAUUGCUAAAGCCAACAAACUUCUUGCAGCACAUCAAGAGAAGAAUGAGAUGACAAUAGAAGAGAUGCGGAGAGAGAGAGACACUCUUGAAGAAAUGAGGGUGAGCAUCUCAAAACAAGCGGAGACUAUUACAAAAGGUAAUGAAUACCUUUCUCGCAGAGAAAGUGAACUUGCAAAGCUGCAGGAAGACAUUUUACAACAACAAAAUGAAAUGGAUGAACUGAAAACCACAAUCAUGAUGGCAAUGAGUCAUCUGGACCAGAGACAAACUGACAUUGAUCAAUUACAGAGGGAGGUUGAUGAUCUAAUGGAAUUCACAAAGACAGAAAUGACCAACGUAGAAAGAGAAAGAGUGGAAAUAAUGGCACAGAAGAGAGAUAUAGAGAGAGAUAUGGUCAGUAUAGAGGAAGAAAAGAAGACCUGUGAACAACUGAGACUAAAAUUAUUUGAGGAAAAGGAUCGGGUUGAAAAAGACAGAGAACUGUUGACCAAAAAUUUGUAUCAUAUGGAGAGGCAGAAAAUGGAUAUGGAGAAAGAACUAAAGAAUCUAAAAGUUGAGAAACAAACCAUUCAAAAUGAAAAGGAGGAACUAGAGAGGAUGAAAACUGACCUUCAAAGACAAGCUGAAGACUUGAAGAAACUACCUGAGAAGACAAAGGAUGAAAGACAGAGGGCAGAAGAGAUGGCAGCCAAAUUUAAAAAGCAAUUAGACAUCAGUGGUAUUCCUUCGGAUGAGACAGAGAAGCAGAGUAAGGAAAUUCAGUCAACCAAAGACUUGCUUCGGGAAGAAAGGUCUGAGCUGGAGAAAACCAAAGCAGAGAUAAAACAAGCCAAGGAAGAAUUAGAGAGUCAAAGAACUGACUUACAGAGAGAAAAAGACAUUCUUAAGCAAGUGAGUAUAAAUAAUUUGAGACAAACAGCUCAAAUUGAAGAUGAGAAGGAAAAAAUACAACACAAAGAGUAUGAACUAGAACAAAUGAGAGCAGAACUUCAAAACAAACAAAAAGAAAUGGAUGACAUGAAAAACAACAUAAUAAAAGAAAAAGCUAAUAUGGAGAAUCUGGAACAAAAGAGAGCUGAGUUGGCUAGAGACUUGGAAAAGCUACAAACUGAGAAACAAGCUUUUAAAAAUGAGCAAGAUAAGCUGGAAAAGAAGAGAGAGGAUAUUGAGAAGUUAAAGCUAGAAGUUCAGAAAAAAGGGCAGAGGGCUGCAGAAGAGUUAGAAAAAGAGAGAAAACAAUUUACUAUGGAGAUCAAAAUGAAAAAUGACACCCUGGAUGAAAUACAAGCUGAGAUAGAAAGACAGAAACAAGCCAUUGCUGUAGACAAAGCGAUCAUUACAAAAGAAAAGAUAGAUCUGGAAAAAACCAAGGAACAUUUCAGAAGACAAUCCGUGGAGAGUGACAUCACACGUGCAGACCUGCAGAAAGAGAGAGCUAGUCUUGAUCAGAUGAGUGUGGAGAUCUUUAAGCAAAAACAGGACCUAGAGAGAGAAAGAGGUGAACUGUUAGAACGGCAUCAGCUGAUGGAAACACUAAAAAAGGACAUUGAAAAUGUGGAACAACUCAGAAAAGAGCUUUCGGAUCAAAAAGAAGUGACUGAGAAAAACAGAACACAGCUGAAACAAGACAUAGAUGACAUGGAACAAAACAAAUCAAAUCUGCAAAAAGAAUUACAGGAGAUAAAAGUCCAAAAACAGGAUAUUCAAGAUGAAAGAGCUCAACUAGAGCGAAUUAAAGCUGAGUUAGCAAAAGAAAGAGAAGCAAAUGAUGAAAUGUUGAGAGAGGGUAAGAAAGAAAUGGAGAAAUUGAAGGAGAUGAAAACAAAUAUUCUAAUCCAAAAAGAAGAGUUUGAGACUAAAAGACAGUCAGAAGUAGAGGAACUCAUUGGUAUGAGAGCUGAAAUACUCAAACAGAAAGAGGAAUUAGAGGACAAGAUGCAAAAGACUAAACAUGAGAUGAAAGAAUUGAAGCUUCUUCAGGAUGAAACAGAUGGCAAGAGGAAAGAUCUUGAACACAAGAUGAGACAGGCAGCAAGAAAGAAAGAUGAGCUGGAGAAAAUGAGAGCUUAUAUUGAAAGUGCAAAUGAGAAACUUGAAAUGAACAGGGUCCUGUUAAGUAUAGAGCUUGAUGAGAUGGAGCGAAUGAAAGCUGAGAAACAACGAGCGGGAGAAGAACUACAUAUGGAAGAGAGAGCUGGAGAUCUGGAAGAGAAAGAACAAAUAAACACCAAGAUACAGAGGCUUAUUCAAGAGGCUGAACAUGACCUGGAAAGAAGCAUGCCGAGAGAUGUUAAUGUUGCGGAUUCAGAGGAAAGGCAAGAAAUGAGUGCUUACAUGCAGAGGCUGAUCCAGGAAAUUGAGCAUGUCAGAGAGGUUCUCAGAAGAAUGAAAGAUGAAGUCAAGGCAGCUAGAAAAGAAAGAUUUGAACUGGAGAACAUAAGGCUGGAAGUUGAAGCCAUGAAACAGAGCAUGAAAGAAACCUAUGAGCAACAGAACAAUGAGAUACAAAAAGAAAAGCAGCAAAUAGAGAGUAGCAAAGACUUGUUGAGCAGAGAGCGAAGUGAUCUUGAGCAAAAUAGAGCUGAUUUGGAGAGACAAAAACAAGAAAUAGCAUUGGACAAACAAAAACUCCAUGAUGAAAAUGAACUGCUGAAGAUAGAAACGGCUGACAUGAAGAAACAAUAUGAAAUUCUCCAAAGCCUUCUAAAAGAAACUAGAGAAAGUGCAGGAGAAACAGUUACACUUUUUAAGAAAAAGAAAGGAAUGGGGAGAGAUUCAGAGGAAUUAAGGGAGAAAAUGGAAGCAUUAAGCAUGGGCGACCAGCAAGAAGAGAGCGAGAGUCAGUUAGAUAAAGUUAAAAGACAAAUAGACAAACUGACAGAGUUGAAGGCUGAGCUGGAUCAACAGCAGGUAGAACUUGAGAAAAAUAAAGCAGACUUUAAACAUCAGAUGGAUGAGCUAGAAAACAUGAGGUCUGAGAUAUUAAAACAUAAAAAGGACACGAGAGAGGUGGAGCUGAUGGAUAUACAGAGACAAAGAGAGGUCCUAGAAACAAGGAUUCAGAAAAUGAUGCAUGAGAAGGGAGAACUGGAAGUCUUAAGGUCUGAGAUAGUCAUAGAAAAGAAAGAUCUGGACCAGAAGAUGAAACAAGUGAUGAGAAAGAGGGAUGAGAUGGAGAAAAUGAAGACUGAUAUAGCAAAGGCCAAAGAGGAGAUCAACAGAGACCGGCAGGAGCUGGAAAUACUCAGGAAUGAUGUUCAAAGCUCAAGAGAGGAUUUUAAACUAUUGGUGGAGAAAACUGUGAAUCUAGAAAAUGAGGAAAGUACCAAUGCAGACAUCCAAAGACUGAUUUUAGAGGUUGUGAAAAUCAGCGAAAUGGUGAGAAAUCUAAAAGUUGACAUGGAGAACCGGAUGGAGGAAAGUAAGGUGGUGAGAGAUGAAAAGGAAAACUUCAAGUCUGAGAUCCAGAGGCUCAUUCAAGAUAUUGGACCAAUACGGGAACAUCUUGGAAGCCUUAGAGAAGAUAUAGAAACCAUCAGAAGAGACAAGAAUGAAUUGGAAAAGAUGAGGGCAGAACUUGUAGAGAAGCAACAGGCAGAAGAGAGCAUGCUGCAGAAAGAAAGAGAAAAACUGGAGCAGCUGAAAGAUGAUAUAAACAGAGAAAAGGAGGAUAUGGAGACCAAGAGAGAGCUGGUUAAGGAAGAAAUAGCUAAAGAAAAAAUGGCAGAGUUCAAAGACACAAGAAAGAACAAGAAAGAACCGCAAAUGGUCACUGAGGAACUCUUGAGAAACAAGAGUGAUGUAGAACAGCUCAACAAAGAUAUAGAAAACCUGAGGCAAACCAUGGAAGAAAUGAAAACACUGCAUGAAAAGAAAAGGGCUGAACUGGAAGGCAUUAUUUCUGAAGUAAAGAGGACAGAGCAGAUACUGGAGAAGCAGAAACAUGAGUUGGAGGAGAAGGGUUGGAUUGUUAAAGAAAUAGAGAAAAAGAAAGACAUACUUGAAAAGAUCAAUAUGGAAAUACUGAGGAAGAGAGAAGAUAUGGAAAAAGAAAUGGACAAUUUAAGGCACAAAAAGCAAGAGCUGGAGCUCUUUAGAGGUGAACUCCAGAGACAGAGAGUUGAUGUUGAAUCUUCAAAACAAGCUUUGAUCAUAGAGAAAGAUCGGUUAGAAGAUGAUCAAGCUGAAAUCAAUCAACAAAGGCAUGAAGUGAGUGCUGCCAUGAAGGCCUAUGAUGUGGAACUGAAAAAUCUAGAAAAGAUUAGGAAUGAACUAGAAAAUGAGAGGGCUAAACUUGACGAAAAGCUCCAUGAUGCCACAAAAUCAGAGAAGAAACUAGAGGAAAUGAAGAGUGUACUAAACAAACAAAAAGAGCAAGUGGAAGUAAUGAAGCAGAUGGUCAUCACAGAGAGACAUUUAAUUGAACAAGAGAAUGCUGAGCUUCAGAAGAAGUCAGAGAUCACUGACAGACUCAUUCAGGAAGCAAACAACGAGAGAGACAGAUUAACAGACCUCAGUCUAAAACUUCAAAUGCAAAGAGAAGAUAUAGAGAAUAUCAUCACAGAAAUAGAGACCAAGAAGAAAAAUCUAAAUAUAAUGAGUGCAGAACUUCAAGAUGAUAAGAUACGACUGAAAAAUGACAGGGAUGUUUAUGAAAGGGAAAUGACACAUCUGCAGCUUAAGAGGGAAGAGUUAGUGAUGGAAACAGAGGACCUGGAAAGAAAAACCUUACAGCAGAAAGAACAAGAUGAGAUGGCGAAACGAGAGAUUCAAAAUCAGAAAGAGGCUCUAGAGCAAAUGAAGGUGGACAUUCUGAAGGAAAGAGAGGAUUUUGACAAAGAGAAGAAAAAUGUACAUUCAGAAAAACAGAAACUGGAUACACAACAAGGAGAACUGCAAAGAAAGGAAUGUGAGCUUGAAAAUAGAGUAAAAACUUUCAUGGAAGAGCAGCAGCAGCUGAAACAGACUCAAGAUGAAAUAUAUAAAAUCAAGAAGGAGAUUCAAAGCAAUCUGGAAAUAAAGGAGGCUGAAAUUCAAGAGGAGAGACAGAGAUUAAUGGAAAUGGGUGAAACAAUGACAAGAGAAUGCAAUGAAUACAGAAAUCUGAUUGAAGAAGUGAAGAAAGAAAAAGAACAGAUUGAAAUCAGCAAAAAGUUGAUGGAUCAAGAGAAGGACGAUCUUGAAAACAUGAAAAAUGAUCUGGAGAUGCAAUUGCAAAAUCUAAGGUAUGACAAACUAAAAGUAGAAGAUGAGAUGAAAGCACUAGAGCAGAUAAGGGCAGAAUCCAAAGAGAUUCAAAAUGUUAUCAAGAAGGAAAGGCAGGAUCAUGAGAAAUGCUGGGAGGAGAUUGAGGAUGAAAAGCAAAGAGUGGAGGAAGAAAUCAGACAAUUAGAGAGACAGAGGGAAGAAACGUAUAAACUUCACAGCGAGUUGCAAAUAAUUAGAGAUGACAUUGAAAGUAGGAAAGAAAAUAUUGAUAAAGAAAUUAAAGAAUUGUUGCAAAUGAGGGUUGAACUGGAGAGAACAAAAGUGGAAAUCAAAAAGGAUAAUCAACAACUUCAAGAUGAUAAAUUUAACCUUGAAAAGACAAAAGCUGAGAUAAAGAUACAGACAGAUAAACUGAUACUACUAGACACUAAUUUAAAGGAGAAAGAAAGAGAAAUGAAAAUCCAACUAGAUAAAGACAGAGAAGAAAUUAAAUGUUUGUCUGAAGAGACUGAAAUGAAAAUGAGGGACCUUGAUAUGACGAUGAAGGUGAUGGAGAGACAAAAGCAAGAAAUUGAGAAAACAAAAGUGAUGCUUGAAAAGGAAAAGACAGAAAUUGGUAAAGAAAAGAAAGACUUGGAAAACCAAAUGAUGGACCAGACUGAGCAGAUAGAAAAGGACAGACUGGCCCUUGAGGAGAUGAAGGAAGAACUUCUUCAUGAAAAACAAGAAAUGGAGGAAGAGAGGAAUAACUUGAUGACUUUAAGCAACAAACUAGAAGUUUUAAGAGCAGAGACAAGGAAUAAGCAAAAUGAAAAUGAGAUUUUGAAGAAGAAACUUAUUUUGGAGAAAUCAAACAUAGAGGAAUUGCAGUUUGAGGUACUUAACCAGCAGCGACAGAAUGAUCAAACCAGUGAGGAAAACAAGAAAGAGAAAGAAGGUCUGGAAAAACAGAGGUUUGAAACUGAACAGCAGAAAAAGAUGUUGGAGCUUAGCAUCAUAAAAAUUAACGAGGAGAAGCAAAAACUUCAGAAAGCCAAAGAAGAAAUGGAAAACAUAAAAUACAUGACCAACAAAGAAAGAGACAAGGUUGAACAAAUGCAAGCUGAGAUACACAGUCAGAUUCAGUCGACUGAACUUCAAAUGCAACUCAUGCAAGACAAGCAGAAUGCUCUUGAGGAAAAAGAGCUAAACAUACAGAGGAGGGAAAGGGAAGUAGAGAGGAGAAACAUAGAAUUAGAUGGAAUCGCUGCUCAGCUUCAAAUUGAACAGGAACAUUUAGAUACUGUUCUUGAGGAAACCAAUAAGAGACAACAUGCCCUUGAAGUGAUAAAACAAACAAAUAAUAAGGACUUUGAGUUGCUUGAGAAGAUACGGCAUGAAAUAGACAACGAAAAGAUAGAAAUGAAGCAGAAACAAGAUGAUCUGCAGAUUUGGACUAAACAACAGAAAGAUAAGGUUCAAGUCCAGUUAGAAGAGCUAGAGAAAGAAAGAGAAAAAUUGGAAAAAAUGAAGAUUCUUGCUGAGAGAGAACAAUCUGAAAAAGAGAGAGCUGAUAUAAAUAGGCUAAAUGGUGAAAUAGAGACAAUGAGACAAACAGUGAUAAUUCAGAAGAGUGAGCUGGAGCAGAGAGAGAAAUAUAUUACUGAGCAGCAGCAAAGACUGGAUCAAAGUGUAAAAGAGGUAACAGAAGAAAGAAGUGAAAUGGAUAAGAUGAGGCUUGAACUAGAAGCUCGGAGACAUCGAAUUGAAGAUGACGUGAACACUAUUGCAAAGCAGGAAAAAGAACUUGCACAACUGAGAGAUGAAAUACAAAGAGAAAAACAAGAAAUUGGUGAGAACAGGAACAUGAAUAACAAGUUAAUGAACGAUCUGGAAAUUAUGAAAGCCAAGCUGGAGGAACAACAAGAAAUGAUCCAAACUGAAACAGAAAAACUCCAAAAGGAAAGAAAACUAGUUGACCAGACAAAAUCUGAGGUUCAGAAUGAUGCUGAAAAUCUGAAAAACGUAUCUGAAGAGAUCAAAAGGAAGCAAGAAAAAAUUGAGAUAAGGGAGGCCCACCUUAACCAAAUGAUGGAGCAAUGUGUCAAUACCAUGGAAGAAACUAAGAGGAAGAAGAGUGAACUAGAAAAGACUAUUGAUGACAUAGAAGAGCAAAAUCAACUGAUUAAGACUGAGAAAGACCAUCUGGAAAAAGAGAGACAUAACAUUGAAAAGGAAAAAGAAGAUUUGCAAAGACGAGCUGAUGACCUGGAGAUGCACAUGACAGAACAAAAAGAAAAAGAAGAGAUAAGUAAAAGGUUGAUGGAUGACGAGAAAAAGCUUCUUGAGGAAAAGGCUGGCGAAAUUCUGAGACAAAGAGAUGAAAUAGAGAAAGAAAAAGAAGACAUGACAAAGAAGUGGGAUGAGCUGGAUGUUCUUCAGAAGAAAAUACAAAAACAAAGAGACGAACUGGAAGAAAUGAAAUAUGAGUUACAAACUGAAAAGACUAAAAUGAAUCAACAGCAGCAAAGACUGGAUGAGAUUAUAAGAGCUGUGAAUGAGGAGAGGAGAGAUCUAGAGAACAUGAGGAGUGAAUGUGAAAAAUACAGACAACAAAUGGAAGAAGAGAUGAGAGUAAAAGCAAAGAUGGAGAGAGAGGAGCUUGAUCAGAAGAAGCGUGAUCUGGAAAGACAGAAAACUGAAAUAGAUAAAGACCAGAAGAAAAUAGAUGAUGAGAGAAAGAUGAUUGAACAGGGGAGAAAUGACCUGGAAAAGAUGAGGUCUGAAAUAAUGACACAAAGAAAGGAAAUAGAAGAAGAAAGAUCAGAACUAGACAACAAAACAAAAGAGACUGAUCUAGUAAAAUGUGACAUUGAAAGGAGCAGAGAAACUGUACAGAAAUUAUUGGAUGAGGUGGAAGAACAGAGAAAUGAUAUUAAACUUAAUGAAGAAGAACUUGAACUUGAGAGACAAAAUAUCACUGAUGAAAAAGAUUUUCUGGCUCAAAUAAAGACUGAACUGCAAAAAGAAAGUGAACGAAUCAGAUACAUGGAAGAGGAAAUAAAGAAGGAGAGAGAAACACUGAAAGAAAUGGAAGCUCAUCUACAAAAGGAAAAGAAAGAAAUCGAGAGUGUCACUGAAGAAACAAACAGACGAAAACAUGAUCUUGAAAGAAUGCAGACAGAACUGAAAAAAGAAAGUGAACAAAUCAGAUACAUGGAAGAGGAAAUAAAGAAGGAAAUAGAAACACUGAAAGAAAUGAAAACUCAUCUACAAAAGGAAAAGGAAGAAAUUAAGAGUGUCGCUGAAGAAACAAAUAGACGAAAAGAAGAUCUGGAAAGGAUGAACACAGACAUAAAUGAGCAAAAACAAGAGCUGAGAAAAUACAGAGAGCUUCUAGAGCAGGAGAGAGAAGAAAUGAAAAAUAAAUGGAUACAGUUACAGCAGAGAAUUGAUAAAUUUGAUACUCAAGUCAGACAACAGAAGGAAAAGGAUUUAAUGANCAAAUGGAAGACAUCAGAGAAGCAAUCAAACUAG
This is a long non-coding RNA of Cyprinus carpio (common carp), 17376 nucleotides long. The record is from Ensembl. NCBI's taxonomy places the organism in Eukaryota, Metazoa, Chordata, Actinopteri, Cypriniformes, Cyprinidae.